RNAcentral lists this long non-coding RNA (1144 nucleotides) under Homo sapiens (human). RNAcentral describes it as "HSALNT0354845". Lineage: Eukaryota; Metazoa; Chordata; Mammalia; Primates; Hominidae. The record is from RNAcentral.
UCCCGCCUUCACUCCCGGCCCUAGGGGGUCGGAGUAGGUCCAGCAGGAGUGACCCCCCGGGGCUGUGGGAUCUGAAACUUUUUCUUCUCUACUGCUUGUUCUCCCUUCCUCCAUCCCUCACCCCGAAGCGGGAAGCAGCUUUCUCUUCCCAGCUUCCAUCCAGUCUCUGAGUAGACCAGUCGCAGCUUAGAUGCUGGGAUCGCCUCAGAACACAUUUCUUUGCCCUUCACGGCCACUACCGGUAUUGGGGUAUGCGAGUCUCAGGGCCGUUCGUUGCUCACAGGUCGAGCUGGUCUGGACUCUGUUCGACCACGAAUCAUGACUCCUUCCUGCCAGUUAUGUCCCCUCCGCACCCUUGCCCAGCCAUUUUACCAGGCCUCUCCACAUUGCGCUGCCCCACGGACCUUAUCAAGCUUGAAGAUCUUUAAAAAGAAAAGUAAAAGUAAUGCAAGAGAACAAAAAGAUUGUCAGUGAAAGAUAUAUAAUUGCAUUAAGAUGUGGCCCUAAUCUUUCCACAGUCAAGCGUGUACUACUAUUUCACAGCAUUUUCCUUUCCAAACUGUGUGCCAAAUAAAUCGGGGUCUCCAACCCCAGAGCCGUGAACUGGUACCCGUCUGUGGCUUGUUAGGAAUGGAGCAGCACAGGAUGAAGUGAGUGGUGGAUCUGUCAAGUGGAAGACAUUCUGUAUUGCUCCAGGCAGCCUAACUACCAGCAAUGGAAGGAAAUAAAGGGAAACAGAUUUCAGCUCAGCAGGAGGCAGAACUUUCUAACAUUUAGAGCUGUCCAACAGUGGAGCAGGCUGCAUUACUUGAGGGAGUGAGCUCCCUGAAAUUUGAACUGUUGAACAGGAAGAUGACCAUCUGGCUGAAUGUACAGGAGGGAAUUCCUGCCUGGGCAACAGUUGCACUAGUGACCUUUAAGCAGGUAUCUUCCAAUUUUAAGGUUUCUAGACUGUUCAACUCAGCUAACUUGACCUCUGAAUAUAUGAGUUAUGGUGUUACAAAAAUUAUUAGACAGUUCAUUUAUUGACUUACCUAAAAUAACUGCAUGGUGAAGUUUAUGAUAAGCAAGAUUUUAGAAACUGAGAAGUGGGAAGGCAGGUUUUACACUGAAAAUCCAGAUACCAUCCAAACCAAUUAAUGGC